RNAcentral lists this ribosomal RNA (253 nucleotides) under uncultured bacterium. RNAcentral's name for it is "partial 16S ribosomal RNA". It matches the Rfam family "Bacterial small subunit ribosomal RNA", at positions 524 to 776 of the family's 1533-position model. The record is from RNAcentral.
UACGAAGGGGGCUAGCGUUGCUCGGAAUCACUGGGCGUAAAGCGCACGUAGGCGGACUCUUAAGUCGGGGGUGAAAUCCUGGAGCUCAACUCCAGAACUGCCUUCGAUACUGGGAGUCUUGAGUUCGGGAGAGGUGAGUGGAACUGCGAGUGUAGAGGUGAAAUUCGUAGAUAUUCGCAAGAACACCAGUGGCGAAGGCGGAUCUCUGGACAGUUACUGACACUGAGGCACGAAGGCCAGGGGAGCAAACGGG